Molecule: ribosomal RNA, 61 nt
Filed under: Diaporthe sp. LNDD004
Lineage: Eukaryota; Fungi; Ascomycota; Sordariomycetes; Diaporthales; Diaporthaceae
Description: partial 28S ribosomal RNA
Source: RNAcentral
UUGACCUCGGAUCAGGUAGGAAUACCCGCUGAACUUAAGCAUAUCAUAAGUCGGAGGAAUC